Molecule: ribosomal RNA, 492 nt
Filed under: uncultured bacterium
Lineage: Bacteria
Description: partial 16S ribosomal RNA
Rfam family: Bacterial small subunit ribosomal RNA
Source: RNAcentral
AGUGAACGCUGGCGGUAGGCCUAGCACAUGCAAGUCGAACGGCAGCACAGUAAGAGCUUGCUCUUACGGGUGGCGAGUGGCGGACGGGUGAGGAAUACAUCGGAAUCUACUUUUUCGUGGGGGAUAACGUAGGGAAACUUACGCUAAUACCGCAUACGACCUACGGGUGAAAGCAGGGGAUCUUCGGACCUUGCGCGAUUGAAUGAGCCGAUGUCGGAUUAGCUAGUUGGCGGGGUAAAGGCCCACCAAGGCGACGAUCCGUAGCUGGUCUGAGGGGAUGAUCAGCCACACUGGAACUGAGACACGGUCCAGACUCCUACGGGAGGCAGCAGUGGGGAAUAUUGGACAAUGGGCGCAAGCCUGAUCCAGCCAUACCGCGUGGGUGAAGAAGGCCUUCGGGUUGUAAAGCCCUUUUGUUGGGAAAGAAAAGCAGCAGGUUAAUACCCCGCUGUUCUGACGGUACCCAAAGAAUAAGCACCGGCUAACUUCGUG